CCAGACUCCUACGGGAGGCAGCAGUGGGGAAUAUUGCACAAUGGGGGAAACCCUGAUGCAGCGACGCCGCGUGAGCGAGGAAGUAUUUCGGUAUGUAAAGCUCUGUCAGCAGGGAAGAAGAAUGACGGUACCUGAAGAAGAAGCACCGGCUAAAUACGUGCCAGCAGCCGCGGUAAUACGUAUGGUGCAAGCGUUAUCCGGAUUUACUGGGUGUAAAGGGAGCGCAGGCGGUUCUGCAAGUCUGAUGUGAAAGCCCGGGGCUCAACCGCGGGACUGCUCUGGAAACUGCGUCGCUGGAGUACGGGAGGGGCAGGCGGAAUUCCUGGUGUAGCGGUGAAAUGCGUAGAUAUCAGGAGGAACACCGGCGGCGAAGGCGGCCUGCUGGACCGUGACUGACGUUGAGGCUCGAGAGCGUGGGGAGCAAACAGGAUUAGAUACCCUGGUAGU
RNAcentral lists this ribosomal RNA (447 nucleotides) under uncultured bacterium. Its description in RNAcentral is "bacterial SSU rRNA". It matches the Rfam family "Bacterial small subunit ribosomal RNA", at positions 331 to 794 of the family's 1533-position model. The record is from RNAcentral.